CGAUCACGGCGACGCGAGCAAUUCGCAGCCCGCGACAUCGCAAGAAGUCCACUGAACCUUAUCAUUUAGAGGAAGGAGAAGUCGUAACAAGGUUUCCAUAGGUGAACCUACGGAAGGAUCAUUG
RNAcentral lists this ribosomal RNA (124 nucleotides) under Metroxylon salomonense. Its description in RNAcentral is "partial 18S ribosomal RNA". It matches the Rfam family "Eukaryotic small subunit ribosomal RNA", at positions 1712 to 1831 of the family's 1831-position model. The record is from RNAcentral. Lineage: Eukaryota; Viridiplantae; Streptophyta; Magnoliopsida; Arecales; Arecaceae.